Molecule: non-coding RNA, 620 nt
Filed under: Halomonas sp. SUBG004
Lineage: Bacteria; Pseudomonadati; Pseudomonadota; Gammaproteobacteria; Oceanospirillales; Halomonadaceae
Description: bacterial SSU rRNA
Rfam family: Bacterial small subunit ribosomal RNA
Source: RNAcentral
AAACUGAAGAGUUUGAUCAUGGCUCAGAUUGAACGCUGGCGGCAGGCCUAACACAUGCAAGUCGAGCGGUAACAGAUCCAGCUUGCUGGAUGCUGACGAGCGGCGGACGGGUGAGUAAUGCAUAGGAAUCUGCCCGGUAGUGGGGGAUAACCUGGGGAAACCCAGGCUAAUACCGCAUACGUCCUACGGGAGAAAGGGGGCUUCGGCUCCCGCUAUCGGAUGAGCCUAUGUCGGAUUAGCUAGUUGGUGAGGUAACGGCUCACCAAGGCCACGAUCCGUAGCUGGUCUGAGAGGAUGAUCAGCCACAUCGGGACUGAGACACGGCCCGAACUCCUACGGGAGGCAGCAGUGGGGAAUAUUGGACAAUGGGGGGAACCCUGAUCCAGCCAUGCCGCGUGUGUGAAGAAGGCCCUCGGGUUGUAAAGCACUUUCAGCGAGGAAGAACGCCUAGCGGUUAAUACCCGCUAGGAAAGACAUCACUCGCAGAAGAAGCACCGGCUAACUCCGUGCCAGCAGCCGCGGUAAUACGGAGGGUGCAAGCGUUAAUCGGAAUUACUGGGCGUAAAGCGCGCGUAGGUGGCUUGAUAAGCCGGUUGUGAAAGCCCCGGGCUCAACCCUGG